CUAGCAUAUCAAUAAGCGGAGGAAAAGAAACCAACAGGGAUUGCCUCAGUAACGGCGAGUGAAGCGGCAACAGCUCAAAUUUGAAAUCUGGCUCUUUCAGGGUCCGAGUUGUAAUUUGUAGAAGAUGCUUCGGGUGUGGCUCCGGUCUAAGUUCCUUGGAACAGGACGUCAUAGAGGGUGAGAAUCCCGUAUGUGACUGGGUGCCUUCGCUCAUGUGAAGCUCUUUCGACGAGUCGAGUUGUUUGGGAAUGCAGCUCAAAAUGGGUGGUAAAUUUCAUCUAAAGCUAAAUAUUGGCCAGAGACCGAUAGCGCACAAGUAGAGUGAUCGAAAGAUGAAAAGCACUUUGGAAAGAGAGUUAAACAGUACGUGAAAUUGUUGAAAGGGAAGCGCUUGCAACCAGACUUGCACGCGGUUGAUCAUCCGGUGUUCUCACCGGUGCGCUCUGCCGCGUUCAGGCCAGCAUCGGUUUUGGUGGUUGGAUAAAGGCCUAGGGAAUGUAGCUUCUUUCGGGGAGUGUUAUAGCCCUAGGUGCAAUGCAGCCUACUGGGACCGAGGACCGCGCUUCGGCUAGGAUGCUGGCGUAAUGGUUGUAAGCGACCCGUCUUGAAACACGGACCAAGGAGUCUAACAUCUAUGCGAGUGUUUGGGUGUCAAACCCAUACGCGUAAUGAAAGUGAACGGAGGUGAGAACCCUUAAGGGUGCAUCAUCGACCGAUCCUGAUGUCUUCGGAUGGAUUUGAGUAAGAGCAUAGCUGUUGGGACCCGAAAGAUGGUGAACUAUGCGUGAAUAGGGUGAAGCCAGAGGAAACUCUGGUGGAGGCUCGCAGCGGUUCUGACGUGCAAAUCGAUCGUCAAAUUUGCGCAUAGGGGCGAAAGACUAAUCGAACCAUCUAGUAGCUGGUUCCUGCCGA
RNAcentral lists this ribosomal RNA (912 nucleotides) under Polyphilus sieberi. RNAcentral describes it as "eukaryotic LSU rRNA". It matches the Rfam family "Eukaryotic large subunit ribosomal RNA", at positions 34 to 964 of the family's 3401-position model. The record is from RNAcentral. Lineage: Eukaryota; Fungi; Ascomycota; Leotiomycetes; Helotiales.